RNAcentral lists this Y RNA (101 nucleotides) under Cebus imitator (Panamanian white-faced capuchin). RNAcentral describes it as "Y RNA (ENSCCAG00000011988.1)". It matches the Rfam family "Y RNA". Rfam says of the family: Y RNAs are components of the Ro ribonucleoprotein particle (Ro RNP), in association with Ro60 and La proteins. The Y RNAs and Ro60 and La proteins are well conserved, but the function of the Ro RNP is not known. The record is from Rfam by way of RNAcentral. Lineage: Eukaryota; Metazoa; Chordata; Mammalia; Primates; Cebidae.
GGAUGGUCCAAGUGCACUAUGUUUACAACUAACUGAUCACAACCAGUUCUAGAUUUCUUUGUACUCUCUCCACUCCCACUGCUUCACUUGACUAGCUUUAA